RNAcentral lists this ribosomal RNA (492 nucleotides) under uncultured bacterium. Its description in RNAcentral is "partial 16S ribosomal RNA". It matches the Rfam family "Bacterial small subunit ribosomal RNA", at positions 29 to 507 of the family's 1533-position model. The record is from RNAcentral.
AGUGAACGCUGGCGGUAGGCCUAACACAUGCAAGUCGAACGGCAGCACAGUAAGAGCUUGCUCUUACGGGUGGCGAGUGGCGGACGGGUGAGGAAUACAUCGGAAUCUACUUUUUCGUGGGGGAUAACGUAGGGAAACUUACGCUAAUACCGCAUACGACCUACGGAUGAAAGCAGGGGAUCUUCGGACCUUGCGCGAGUGAAUGAGCCGAUGUCGGAUUAGCUAGUUGGCGGGGUAAAGGCCCACCAAGGCGACGAUCCGUAGCUGGUCUGAGAGGAUGAUCAGCCACACUGGAACUGAGACACGGUACAGACACCUACGGGAGGCAGCAGUGGGGAAUCUUGGACAAUGGGCGCAAGCCUGAUCCAGCCAUACCGCGUGGGUGAAGAAGGCCUUCGGGUUGUAAUGCCAUUUUGUUGGGAAAGAAAAGCAGCAGGUUAACACCCCGCUGUUCUGACGGUACCCAAAGAAUAAGCACCGGCUAACUUCGUG